AAGCCGGUGAUGAUUGACCUUCUCACAGGACGUGGUACACUGUCCCUGAGCCCGCUCUAACUCGCCAGGUGCAGAGCUUCAGCCAGCAGCAGAAGCAGAGCAGUGGGCAGUGGUGGAGGUAGAGCUGGCUCCAGCUCCGUUGACACCACCCUCUCUAGCACUGGAGCCAGUGUCCCCUCCAUCAGCAGUGUUGGAGCUGGAGCAAGGGCCGACAUCGGCUGCAGCAGGAGUGGGAGCUGCUGAGCUGGAGUCACCUGGACCAUCAUUUCUAGUGGGAAGUCCAUCUCCACCUGUGGCUAAGAAGCAUGAGAAGAAGCCCAACCUACGGCCUUCCCUCCUAAGCUGGUGGUGGAGCAGUUGACCGUGAUGGAUGCGAGGGUAGAGGUGGACACUAACAGGACCUGCUGCACAGAGUGGUUGUGCCGGCUCCAUGAGGU
Molecule: long non-coding RNA, 437 nt
Organism: Diceros bicornis minor
Lineage: Eukaryota; Metazoa; Chordata; Mammalia; Perissodactyla; Rhinocerotidae
Exons: 3
Source: RefSeq, a predicted model, not a curated record